Non-coding RNA from Rattus norvegicus (Norway rat), 8394 nucleotides. The record is from RefSeq and is a predicted model, not a curated record. Lineage: Eukaryota; Metazoa; Chordata; Mammalia; Rodentia; Muridae.
GAGAUUUGGGGGUGACAGACCCUAGACCAGUUUGUGCGCAUGCGCGCACACGUACGCACACAUCCCAUUGACCAGAAGACAUUUACAAAUUACAGUUUUGAUUAUUUACCACCCUCUCUUCUCUGUUCACAUGCGUAUCUCCAGUCUCAAUCAACCUUUAGCCCAUCCCGACUCUUGGUAAAGUUUAUAAUUGAGCCCUCGCUGUUGAGCUGUGCUUGAGAAAUGGUUUGCUGCUUCCUGGGUUUCCAUGACGACAGCUUCCCACCCUGUGGCUGAAGGUAACCUCUGUCGACCAUGGCUGGGGGUAGUUAUCAAGCUGUCACGGGCAAUUUUCCUGCUCAUUUGAGAGAAGCAACAACCCAGAGAGGAAAUAACAGGAUGCCACGGCGAGAACGCACUCUCAUGUUGAAACCGCAAUUUCUGGAAAGACAUCUACUGUUGAACACAAGACCCUGGUCUCAGGAGAGUACGGCUGAUGCGGCCAAUCUUCUCAGUAGCAGAGUCAGUAAGAUAAUUGUGCUGGACUUGUGGCCAGACGACAGAGAGUGUCACAAGGACUUGGAUAUGUCAGAUGAGUAGUGGGGCCAUCAAUUCCUUUCUCGCGCAGCCCCAGCUCUUUGCUCGGUUACUGCAAAGAUGCGCUUGAUGCUCAAAUGAACCGACUGGGUGAAAGCCUGCUUGGUAAACUGUGAAAUCCUAUACAGCACCUUGACCCACCAAGGGAAGACGCGGAAAAAAUGGAGCAACAGGAGCCCACAUGUUAGAAACCAAGACUACUCCCAGCAAGAUAUCCUGUGAUGUCCACAUGUAUGCAAUUGGCAUUGAGUGUGCCCCUCCUCCAUUAGCCAAUGUACAGAAAAGAUGAAGGCUUCUAGAGAGAGUGUUCAAUGAAUGCACGAGGCUUUUCCAGAGGAACCAACUUGGGUUCCCAGCACCCACACUGGAUGGUUCAAUACCACACGAUUCCAGCUCUAAGGGAUCUGAUAUCUUUCCUCUGGCCUGUUCAGGCAUCUGCAUACAUAGCAUACAAUCACACAAAGAGAAGAUAAAUAAAGGGCAAACGUCAGCCUCUCGAGUGUGUUGUUAGUAGAAUGCAUGCAUGAAGCAUUUAAAGAGAGUCCCAACAUGAUGAAAAGAUGGAUCAUGAUGUAGCUCCCAGCUACAUGCUGCCAGCACCAUGCUGCCUAUCUGCCUCCACGUUCCCCACCACCGCGAUGCUGGACCAAACCUCUGAAACUGCAAGUAAGCCCUCCAUUAAACGCUUCCUUCUCUAAGUUGCCUUGAUCACGAUGGCUGUUCACAGCAAUAGAACAGUGGCUAAGACUGCCCCCCAACCCCCAUUUGAGUUAUUAGGAGAAAGGAAAGAAAGAUUCCCUGAGAAUCUCUCCAAGACAGAAUUCAUUCAUCAUACGAGUCCUAGAAAUUUUAAGCUUAUAAAAAAAUAAAACCAACAUUUACUGUGAAGCUACAAUUAAGAUUAAGAAUGGGAGGCACUAGCACAGAGAGGAAAACAGACUUGUGAGCAUCUAAGCAUCCCAGUGUUUUAAAGUAACAAAAAGCUAAAGUUGCCAAGCAGUGAGGAAAAGUCUGCCAUCCUGACUGACAGCAGCAAUGGUGAGACUGACCGACCUCAUACCGUAUAUACACAUGCCUACAGAAACAACUAAAGGGAGAAAAGAGGACAUUGAUCCCAGUGUUAGAGGCUCCAGUCUAUCCUGGCAGACAGAAAUUGAAACAAAGUAACAACAGGAAGAGGCCAGGAUGGGAUGUACCCCCUCAAGGAUACACCCUUAAUAACUGACUUUCCCCAAUUAAGCCUCGUUUAGGAAGUUUCUCCACCUCUAACAUGAUUAAACUGUGUCCCUGAAUUUCAACCGUUACAUGUAUGAUGACAAACUUCUAUGAAAAAGGAAUAACUUUGAAAACUUUUAGGAGACCAUCUGGAUUGUUUCACAGCAUGGAAUAAUUUUCUUCCAGGGGCUGGAAUGGACACAUCACACAGGUAAACCUUUCUAACGAUGGAACUGCUGUAUUAAGGUUGUGAUCUGGACCUGGAGCUAUAGUUCAGUUCACAGCAAGCUUGCCCCAAAUGCACAAGGUCCUAGGUUUAUCCCAACCACUGCAUAAACUGGGCAUGCGGGUACACACCUACAAUUCCAGGCCCUGGGUAGAGGUAGGAGAAGGGGAAAUGAAGUGGAAGUUUCUGGUUGUAUCAUGUGAUAUAGACUCACGUGAUGUUUUGCUGAGGCAAGACCUGAAUGUUUGGUGGUCUGUAAUGUUUGGCGAGAUAAUAAAUAGGACUCAAGGGGCAGCAAUGAAGGCUCAUAUAACUAGUUAUACAACACAUAGUUGGUCUCAAAUCUUCACUGAUCUUCACUUCAUUGAGAGAGGCAUGGUGGAGAACUCCUGGCAUUACAGCUGGCUCUAGUGGCUCCUGCUGACUAGUGCCAAUUCAGCGGAGGCCUGGUGGUUUCUGCUGGAAAGUCCCUCCAGUGCUGAUUCAUGAUUGGUGAUACCUUUGAACUAGACUGUUGGUAUCCUUGACAAACAGAAAUUGGAAUCAUCCCAAAGAACUAUUUCUAAAUAGGUCCACAUCCCCUUGUCCUAUUUAUCAUCUUUUGGGAGUUGAAGCAUUUGAGAGCCUUUAUUAAAGUAGGUUCUGAAAAAUCUAAGCCUAUGGGAAAUCAUUCUCAGUUACUGGAAAAUUCAAGGCCAGCCUCAAAUGCAAUGACACCCUGUCUCAAUUUUUUUAAGCCCUAAUAUAAUACAAAAGAAAACCAUAAUGAAAGAGGUGUGUAUUUAAAAAAAAAAAACAGAGCUAAUAUUCAGAGGAAUACAGAACUUUUAACAAUUCAGAAAGGAAAGAGCAGCUUGCCAGAAAGUGGCAAAAAUUAGAAACAGAUAUCUCACAGGAAAACAACACAGCAUGAGCAGCCCACGAAGCCACAGAAAGAUUCUAAACAAUAAUCAGAGAGAUGUCAUACUGUCAAAACAUUUGAAGUGAAGCAACACCAACUAUUGGCAGCGAUGUGAAGCCUCGGGAAAUUCUUAAGCACUGCUUGUGGGCAUUUAAAUGGUCACAGGGACUCUGGAAUGCUCUGGCUUGACCCUGCUUGGCACAAAUAGCUAGCUGUCCUUCAAUCCUCCUUCUCCCUCUUCCCAAUACUGUGAUGCUCCUGAGAAGUGCCUGCCACUAUUAUCACAAAUAAUUAGGGAGUUGAUUAAUGAAUGAAUCAAUUAACAAGUGUGACUGAAGAUUUGGAGAAACAGGAACCCCAGUGCCCUAUCAGUGGGGAAGUAAACUGAAGCAGCUGCCGCAGAGAGCAGUAAAUUAGUUGCUCAAAAUAUUAAAAAGAACCAUCGAAGGACUGUCCCACCCAACUUUGGGACUUGGGGAUUUUUUACCCCAAAUAAUUUAAAUCAGAAUCUUCAUGGCUCUUAAAAUAUAGGUCUAAAGAAUUGGAAAGAUGUAAGAAAUGCAUCUAGGGUCUAAAAAAAAUUGGCCAUAAAAUCCCAAGUAUGUUGGCAAGGCAAGAAGUUUCACUCCUGCAGGAGGGUGGUAGCUAUGCAAAUCAAGCAGUCAGUUUGGGGCUGCUGGUUUUUUAUUUCAUAAUGGAAAAGGGUCCUGUGCCUCACCCCAAGGCAGUGGUUCUCAACCUGUGGGUCUUGACCCACUUGAGGGGUCGAAUAUGAGAUAUCCUGCAUAUGAGUUGCAUUAUGAUUCAUGAUAGUAGCAAAAUUAUAAUUAUGAAAUAGCAACAACAUAAUUCUAUGGUUGGGGGUCACCACAACAUGAGGAACCAUAUUAAAGGGUCACAGCAGUAGGAAGGCUAAGAACUGCUGCUUUGAGUGGUCAGAGGUGGGUCUCACACCCUCAGCUGUAAGCUCCCGGGAGGAGCACACUUGCAGAGCAGCCUUAAGCACAUGUUUUGACAUCAAGAGCUGACUUUGAAGGACCUUGAAUUUCUGCCAAGUGGCUUUGUUACAUUUUUCAAUGUCCUGUCUAGAUAUAAGACAAGACGAUACAUGUCUUUUAUCUUUUCUACAUGUCCAAGUAACCUACAUGUCUAUGGAAAGAUACAUGGAUAAAACAUUUGCAAUGGAAUAUUAUUCAGCCUUUAAAAGAAGGAUAAAAGAAAAUCUCCAUAAAAACGUUUAAGUAAAACAAAACCUAAAGAAGCCACUACAGUCACACCUAGCGCUUGGGCAAUAAGACGAGAGGUACAGCAGCCAAGUCAUACAGAAGCUUGCAGGCCAACUACCCUGAGUUGCACAAUGCAUUUGCAGAACAAGAAAGAUUUAGCUUCCUCAGACCAGGCAUGCAGAUACCUACCCCUUUGCAGUCGUGCAUGGACACACACAUACACACACACACAUGUACAAAUUAAUAAUUUUUUUAAAAAAAGCAAUUACACCAGAAAACAUUCUACAGAUCUGCUACAUAUAAAACCAUGCUUGGAGGUAUCAACAUUUUAAUAUACAUUAAAAAGGCUUUGUUUGUACUUUCUUCCUUUCUUUCCUUCUCUUUCAUUCCUUCUCUUUCUUUCUUUCUUUCUUUCUUUAUUUAUUUAUUUAUUUAUCUUCAUACCAAAUGCUGCCCCCUCCCAGUACCCCCUUGAGAGUUUUCCCCCAGUCCUUACUUCCCUUCAUCUCUGAGAGGAUGCCAUCUUCCUCUUACAUCCUUCUACCCUAGAACAUCAAAUUUCUACAGGAUUGGGCUCAUCCUCUCCCACUGAGGCCAAACAAGUCAGCCCUCUACUCUGAACAUGGCAGGGACCUCUGACCAGCCUGUGUUUGCUCUUUGGUUGGUGGCUCAGGCUCUGGGAGCUCCAAGGGGUCCAGGUUAGUUGACAUUGUUGGUCUUCCUAUGGGGAAGACUUCUGUUUCUUCAGCCCUUUCUCUAACUCUUCCAUAGAGGUUCCCCCAACUUAGUCUAAUGCUUGGCUGUAGGUGUCUUCCUCUGUCUCAGUCAGCUACUGGUAGAGCCUUUCAGAGGGCAGCCAUGCUAGGCUCCUGUCUGCAAGCACAACACAGCAUCAGUAAUAGUGUCAGAGUUUGGUACCCACCCAUGGGAUGGGUCCUAAGUUGUCCCAUCACUGGUUGGUCACUCCUUCAGUCUCUGCUUCAUUUUGUCCCUGGAUUUUUCUUUUAGACCGGAGUAAUUUGAGGUUGAAGAUUUUGUAGUGGGGAGAAGGUAGACACUGUGCUUUUUCUUUUAACCACAAUAAUAAAUGAAAACUCUAAGCAGACAGUGACCCUCAGUCAUAGGAGAACGGUUUUGUGUCCCCACCUAAAGCUGCAGGGAAGGUCCAUGGAAUUUAUAUUUAUUUUUAUUUUUUAUGCAUACACAUUUUAGAUCCGGCCUUUUGUAUUUAAUUCGAACUUAAGAUCUAGAUUUCUAAAUGUCAGCGACAUUUGCUCAUUGCUGUGAUGAAAUGCUUGACAUAAAUUUAAAAGGGGGAAGAUUUAUUUUGCUCAUGGUUUUAGGGUGUGCAGUCUUUCACAGCAGACAGGAAACAGAGAAGGGAAGUGACAGGAAAGGACCAGGACUCUCGAAAUGAGCAAAACUAACAGAAUGAACAAAACACUCACAACACACACGUACACAAACACACACACACAAAUACACACAUACACAAACACACACACACACAGAGAGAGAGAGAGAAAGAGAGAGAGAGAGAGAGAGAGAGAGAGAGAGAGAGAGAGAGAGAGAGAGAGAGUUUACUCUACAGAGCCAAUGAGUUUACUGGCAGCCCAACAACCACUCUCUCAGUCUGGAAAGCAUCUCAAAAUUGCUCAGUUCAUGAGGUUGCAGGUCUUGGCAUUCCCAGUAAGACACAGAAACCCCAGAGAAUUCCUGGGGAGCUGCUGAUCUCCUGUCUACGUUGGAAUCCUAAAGCACUUAGUUCCAAUAUCAGUGACAGAAUGCCUCAGCAAUAGGAUAUACAUGGGCUUGCCACCAAGAAGGAGAGGAAGCAGGCAAAAUGCCACCAUAAGGUAUGUCCCUGAUUUAGGGUGGGUCUUUCUUCUUCUUCAAAUAAUUUAAUUAAGAAAAUACCUCAUAGAUAUGCCCAACCUUUUUAGGUUUUAAAAGUUGGGGUGUAUCCAGGUUGAUAACCAAGGUUAGCCAUUAUAUUUACUGAUCUACUUCCUCUAAACAGGUUUCCCUUUACCCAGUUUUACCACCUACCGAGUCUAUUCAAAUUUUAAGUAAAGCUGAAUAAAUCAAUGAAUUGAACUAUAUUACUGAGGUCAGAACAUUCAUUAUCUAAUGGUCUCUAAAAAUGCCACCAGAGACUUACUAAAAAGUGUGUUUUACAAAUCUCCCAGGUGUCUCUUGGCCCAAUCAAGGUGUUAAUUACAAUUAAUUAUUAUAAUAAUUAUUAUGCAAAUGGUGUUCAUAAUAAUUCAUUGACAUUGUAUUUAGAAUACAGUAUCUUAUAGUAUAAGUUCUAGAAAUACUCACCAUUAAUUGUUCUCUCUUAUGUGAUAGUUAUACAUUUUUAUAAAUAUAAAUUAUGAAUGAUUAUAUGCCAUAUGGGUGUAUAUGCAAAUAUGAUAACUACUAUCUAGAGUAUAACAUGUAUAAGGUAGGUUUUAAUAUGUGGCUUUUCCUAGAGAGACAGAAUGCACACAUCUAAUCAAACCAGAUAGAGAAUCAACAACAGACAAAAUUAUGAUCCCACCAAAGUGCAAUUUGGCAAACCACUAAGUUUAAUGAAGCUUGUUGCUAAAAUCCCUCCCCUGUAGGAGAUAUAAACAAACCCUCCUUCUAGGGUCCCCCAAACAACCAAAUGAAGUGCAGGGACCCAGUGAGUUAUCAGGUUUCCUUACAAAGGAAUGGAUGAAGGCAGGACAAUGGGGGAGUCUACAGCAGUACAGAAGGUCUGCACCCACUGAAUGAUGACUCUCCUAUGGUUGUGUAGAUGGAACCCCUUCCCAAGUACUUCCCCACCUACAUGCUCCAGCCCUUCCAAGACCCCAAGGCCACGUACGAUACAAGGACAAAAUUGCAUACAGCUAGUUGGAGGAUACCUAGAUACUCAGGUGAAGAUGGCCCCAUUCGCUCUCUGCUCCCAAACCCCGUGGGAGAGAGACCUCACCGCCUGAUCAGGUGGGCACUCCUGAGGCUGCAGAGCGGAGGAGACCACCAACACUGCCCACCCCUGCCCACAUCCCUGGCCCAAGAGGCAACUGUAUAAGGCCUCUGGGUUCCCGUAGGGGAGGGCCCAGGAGCGGCAGGAUCCCUGCGCCUGAGACACCGCCAGAACCUGAAGGAAACAGACCGGAUAAACAGUUCUCUGCACCCAAACCCCGUGGGAGGGAGAGCUAAACCUUCAGAGAGGCGGACACGCCUGGGAAACCAGAAGAGACUGCACUCUGUGCACAUCCAGACGCCAGAGGAAAACACCAAACGCCAUCUGGAACCCUGGUGCACGGAGGCUCCCGGAAAGAGCGGCGCAGAUCUUCCCGGUUGCUGCCGCCGCGGAGAGGACUUAGGCAGUACCCCACGAGCAAACUUGAGCCUUGGAACCACAGGUAGGACCAACUUUUCCCCUGCAAGAAACCUGCCUGGUGAACUCAAGACACAGGCCCACAGGAACAGCUGAAGACCUGUAGAGAGGAAAAACUACACGCCCGAAAGCAGAACACUCUGUCCCCAUAACUGGCUGAAAGAAAACAGGAAAACAGGUCUACAGCACUCCUGACACACAGGCUUAUAGGACAGUCUAGCCACAGUCAGAAAUAGCAGAACAAAGUAACACUAGAGAUAAUCUGAUGGCGAGAGGCAAGCGCAGGAACCCAAGCAACAGAAACCAAGACUACAUGGCAUCAUCGGAGCCCAAUUCUCCCACCAAAGCAAACACUGAAUAUCCAAACACACCAGAAAAGCAAGAUCUAGUUUCAAAAUCAUAUUUGAUCAUGAUGCUGGAGGACUUCAAGAAAGACAUAAAGAACUCCCUUAGAGAACAAGUAGAAGCCUACAGAGAGGAAUCGCAAAAAUCCCUGAAAGAAUUCCAGGAAAACACAAUCAAACAGUUGAAGGAAUUAAAAAUGGAAAUAGAAGCAAUCAAGAAAGAACACAUGGAAACAACCCUGGACAUAGAAAAUCAAAAGAAAAGACAAGGAGCUGUAGAUACAAGCUUCACCAACAGAAUACAAGAGAUGGAAGAGAGAAUCUCGGGAGCAGAAGAUUCCAUAGAAAUCAUUGACUCAACUGUCAAAGAUAAUGUAAAGCGGAAAAAGCUACUGGUCCAAAACAUACAGGAAAUCCAGGACUCAAUGAGAAGAUCAAACCUAAGGAUAAUAGGUAUAGAAGAGAGUGAAGAAUCCCAGCUCAAAGGACCAGUAAAUAUCUUCAACAAAAUCAUAGAAGAAAACUUCCCUAAC